Molecule: transfer RNA, 76 nt
Filed under: Holosporales bacterium
Lineage: Bacteria; Pseudomonadati; Pseudomonadota; Alphaproteobacteria; Holosporales
Description: tRNA-Lys
Rfam family: tRNA
About the family: Transfer RNA (tRNA) molecules are approximately 80 nucleotides in length. Their secondary structure includes four short double-helical elements and three loops (D, anti-codon, and T loops).
Source: RNAcentral
GGGCCCUUAGCUCAGUCGGUAGAGCAUCUGACUUUUAAUCAGGGGGUCGAAGGUUCGAAUCCUUCAGGGCCCGCCA